RNAcentral lists this long non-coding RNA (1321 nucleotides) under Microcebus murinus (gray mouse lemur). RNAcentral describes it as "lncRNA (ENSMICG00000048171.1)". The record is from RNAcentral. Lineage: Eukaryota; Metazoa; Chordata; Mammalia; Primates; Cheirogaleidae.
CCUGUCCCUGGGCGUGCGAGGAGGUGGGGCCCUGGGAGGUAAUUAGGUCCCCAGGGCGGAGCCUUCCGGAAGGGAAAGCAGUCAGUGUCCCCAGCGAGGACUCGGCGAGAAGAGGGUCACCUGUGGGUGCCUCGGUCGUGGACUUCUCAGCCUGCGGCAAACGGCGAGGAAACAUUUCCGUGGGAGCCCUCCUCUCAGCCCCUCCAGCACGGAGGCGCCACGUGCCUGAGUCUCCAGGGCAAGCUAGGAGCUUGGAGAGACAGAGACAGCUUUCGGGCAUCCUUAGCAAACUCCUACUCCUAUGUUAAAGCCCUAAGUCUGACAUCCCCUCCUCCAGGAAGACCCUGUCCCUGUCUCUGGGCCUUCCCUGACUUGCAUGGGCCUGGGCCCGCAGUUCCUCUUCCCGGGCCCGAGCGAGCGAGCGGGGUGCGCCCGAGGCCACGCAGGUCCGCAGGGUCGCCCGCGUCCAGGUGAGCCGCGCGCGCAGCCCCGGCCCAGGUGUGGCGGCGGGACCCGCCAGGUAAGACCGAGGCCCCGGACUUGGGGGGCCGCAGACCGGAGCUGGGGGACCCCGUCGGCGGCCCCCACCCCACCCCACCCCACCCCACCCCAGGACUGCCCGGGGACCCCGAAGUUCCCAGAGGAACGAUUAAGGUGGCGCCCCCUCCACACCCCCCGCCGCUUCCAAGGCAACCGCUCAUUUGCAUACGGCCCCGUCCUGGCCAAUGGGGGCGCCCCAAAUGUGGGGGACCUGAGUGAGUCCCCAAAGGGGCUCGUCUGGGAACCGGGAAAGGCUGGGCUCGGCUGCCCCCCUGCCCGCCUUCCCCUAGGCAGGCGCCGGGGAGGGACGUACCCAUUCCCCGGAGGCGGCCACUGAGGCCGCGGGCGCCCAGCCAGGGCCCGCCAGGCGCGGCCUCCGCGUCGCCGUCCCGGGGCGGCCGCGGGGCUAUAAAUAACGACAAUAAUAAUAACCAGCCCGGGCCGCGAGGGCGAGCGCGACCGCAGGGCUGAGGCCAGGGCCCGGGUUGGGGUGUCUCCGCGCAGGCUCCCCGGAUGGAGGGCGCCGUGCUGUGGGCGUCGUCGCUGUGGCUGUGGCUGUCGCUGUCGCUGCUGCGGGGCCCGGGCGGCCAGGGCCUGUCCUGCAACGUGACCGCGGUGGACUGGGCGGCGGAGUUCGAGGCCGAGUGCCUGAACCUGAGCGGCCUGGGCGUGCGCCCCCCGCGCAACGGCUCCCUGCGCGCGCGCCGCCUGGCGCUGCUCGACCUGUCGCGCAACGGGCUGCGGGAGCUGCCGCCGCCCGGCUUCUUCGCGCAGCUGCCGG